This 553-nucleotide ribosomal RNA is filed under the name uncultured stramenopile. RNAcentral describes it as "SSU rRNA". It matches the Rfam family "Eukaryotic small subunit ribosomal RNA", at positions 593 to 1146 of the family's 1831-position model. The record is from RNAcentral.
CANAGCGUAUAUUAAAGUUGUUGCAGUUAAAAAGCUCGUAGUUGGAUUUCUGGCUGGAGCGAUCGGUCCGCCCCGCAAGGGGUGUGUACUAGCGUCGUCUCCGACCAUCCUUGUGGGAACUGUGCGGCCGUUAACUCGGUUGUAUAUGGGAACACAUCGNUUACUGUGAAAAAAUUAGAGUGUUUAAAGCAGGCUUAAGCCGUUGAAUACAUUAGCAUGGAAUAAUGAGAUAAGACUUGGGUCAUUAUUUUGUUGGUUUGCGGAUCGAGGUAAUGAUUAAUAGGGAUAGUUGGGGGUAUUCAUAUUUAAUUGUCAGAGGUGAAAUUCUUGGAUUUAUGAAAGAUGAACUUAGGCGAAAGCAUUUGCCAAGGAUGUUUUCAUUAAUCAAGAACGAAAGUUAGGGGAUCGAAGAUGAUUANAUACCAUCGUAGUCUUAACCAUAAACUAUGCCGACUAGGGAUUGGCGGUCGUUACUUAAUGACUCCGUCAGCACCUUAUGAGAAAUCAAAGUCUUUGGGUUCCGGGGGGAGUAUGGUCGCAAGGCUGAAACUUA